AUGAACGCUGGCGGCGUGCCUAAUACAUGCAAGUCGAGCGAACGGACGAGAAGCUUGCUUCUCUGAUGUUAGCGGCGGACGGGUGAGUAACACGUGGAUAACCUACCUAUAAGACUGGGAUAACUUGGGAAACCGGAGCUAAUACCGGAUAAUAUUUUGAACCGCAUGGUUCAAAAGUGAAAGACGGUCUUGCUGUCACUUAUAGAUGGAUCCGCGCUGCAUUAGCUAGUUGGUAAGGUAACGGCUUACCAAGGCAACGAUGCAUAGCCGACCUGAGAGGGUGAUCGGCCACACUGGAACUGAGACACGGUCCAGACUCCUACGGGAGGCAGCAGUAGGGAAUCUUCCGCAAUGGGCGAAAGCCUGACGGAGCAACGCCGCGUGAGUGAUGAAGGUCUUCGGAUCGUAAAACUCUGUUAUUAGGGAAGAACAUAUGUGUAAGUAACUGUGCACAUCUUGACGGUACCUAAUCAGAAAGCCACGGCUAACUACGUG
This 495-nucleotide ribosomal RNA is filed under the name uncultured bacterium. RNAcentral's name for it is "partial 16S ribosomal RNA". It matches the Rfam family "Bacterial small subunit ribosomal RNA", at positions 29 to 507 of the family's 1533-position model. The record is from RNAcentral.